UCCUACGGGGGCGCAGUGGGGGAUAUUGCACAAUGGGGGAAACCCUGAUGCAGCGACGCCGCGUGGGUGAAGGAGCGCCUCGGCGCGUAAAGCCCUGUCAGCAGGGAAGAAAAUGACGGUACCUGCAAAGGAAGCACCGGCUAACUCCGUGCCAGCAGCCGCGGUAAUACGGAGGGUGCGAGCGUUAAUCGGAAUUACUGGGCGUAAAGCGCUCGUAGGCGGUAUGUCAAGUCAAGGGUGAAAUCCCCGCGCUCAACGUGGGAACUGCCUUUGAAACUGGCAAACUGGAGGGUGUGAGAGGAUAG
RNAcentral lists this ribosomal RNA (305 nucleotides) under uncultured bacterium. RNAcentral describes it as "bacterial SSU rRNA". It matches the Rfam family "Bacterial small subunit ribosomal RNA", at positions 337 to 661 of the family's 1533-position model. The record is from RNAcentral.